This is a non-coding RNA of Mus caroli (Ryukyu mouse), 162 nucleotides long. The record is from RefSeq and is a predicted model, not a curated record. NCBI's taxonomy places the organism in Eukaryota, Metazoa, Chordata, Mammalia, Rodentia, Muridae.
GGAACCUGUCACAUAGGACAUUUUAAUAUUUACAAUUAAGAACUAAAUGGUCCAAGGUGGGAUAGAAAACCCAGAUUGGAAUUAAAAAUUUCAAUAACAGGUAAAUGAAUGGAUCUACAAAAAGUCAUCCUGAAGUAAACCAGAAUCCAGAGGACAAAUAUG